This 253-nucleotide ribosomal RNA is filed under the name uncultured bacterium. Its description in RNAcentral is "partial 16S ribosomal RNA". It matches the Rfam family "Bacterial small subunit ribosomal RNA", at positions 524 to 776 of the family's 1533-position model. The record is from RNAcentral.
UACGUAGGGUGCAAGCGUUAAUCGGAAUUACUGGGCGUAAAGCGUGCGCAGGCGGUUUUGUAAGUCUGUCGUGAAAGCCCCGGGCUCAACCUGGGAAUUGCGAUGGAGACUGCAAGGCUUGAAUCUGGCAGAGGGGGGUAGAAUUCCACGUGUAGCAGUGAAAUGCGUAGAGAUGUGGAGGAAUACCGAUGGCGAAGGCAGCCCCCUGGGUCAAGAUUGACGCUCAAGCACGAAAGCGUGGGGAGCAAACAGG